GAAUAGAUUAUCUAGGCUAUAUAAAGAGUAAAGAACGCAAGAAAUACGUUAAAGUCAAAAUAUAAAGGUAUGAGCUAAAUUUAUGUUGAAUCAAUAGAUGGGCCAUUAGCCCAUCCAUAGGAUAUUGAGAAAAUCUCAUUUUAUAUUUAUUAGUUCAAAUUAUUUACUCUUUAAUGGUCGAAUUUAAACUAUUUACUACUUCUACUUAUGCGUCCCAAAUUAUUUACGAGCCUUUUUAUGUUCUUCUUCUUUGUCUUCUUCAUUUUACCUUUCUCCAAUUCUUUGCUCAACUCCCCAUCCAUCAAUACUCUCCGACGAUAACCUUUAUAGCCCACCGUUAACUAUUAUGCCAAGACUUGUCCUAAAGUUGAAAUUUUCGUUGGCUCAGUAACCUCCCAAAUGUUAAGAUGCCCCUGCCUCUGGGCCUACCACCAUUCACCUCUUUUUUCAUGAUUUCUUUGUUGAAGUGGUGCUAUUAUUUUAAAGAUUACGAUGUGAUGCUAUACAAUAUUGCUUAUAAUAUUUUCGAGUAAGCUUUCUAGAUCAAAAUUUUAUGUGUGGUUGAAUAUCCGCCAUUGUUAGGCUUGAAGCUUAAUUUUAUUUUUGAAGAUUUCUUGUUUGAUUCAAAGUGGAUGCUUUUAAAUAUUGUUUAUAGUACCUUCUGGAAGUACAUAUUAAAAUUUGAUAGCAUUUGUAGCUAAUUUGAGGUGAUUGAGAUUGAAAGUUUCAGUUAAAAAUCGAAGAAGAACACAACUACAGUAAUAAUCGAUGAAGAACAGAACUACCUAACAAUAUACCGCUAUAGUAUACUGAUAUAUUAUAGGAGUAUAUAGUUAUACUGGGACAAUAUACUAUUAUAGUAUACAAUAUAUUAUUAUGGUAUACUAUAAUAAUAUACAAGAUAUUGUAACAAUAUACUGAAAAGUAUAUAAUAUAUACUUCCCGUAAAUUUACUUGUCUUUUCCAUUUUAAUCUGUUUUAAGCUUUUACUCAACGUGAGGGGCGAACUGAAAAUGCAAAAAAAUAAAUAAGUUAUAGUAUGCUAUAUAAUGUAAUGGUAUACUCUUAUCAUUAGAUCCUUUUAGAUUUUUUUAAAAUUUUUUAUCAACAACUAAUAUUAUUUCAGUUUAAUGAUUGAAUUGAAUUUUUUAACUCUUUGUGUUUGAUUAUAUACCCUAUUUGUAUAGCUAUAUACUAUGCUAGUAUCAUAUGUUAGUUAAUAUUUUUUUUGUAUUAGCUACAUUUAAUUGUCCACAACUUGAUUUUUCUUCAGUAAUAAUAUAUAUAAAAAAAAUAAUAAAUAGUGAAAACAAUAAAUGAUAUUAGAUUAUAAAGAGAAAAAGAAUAUAAAAAAAAAGUUAAAUGAAAUUAGAAAAGGAAAAAAAUACAUAAAUAAGAAGAAAUCUAGAAAAAAGAAAAGGAGAAAAGAAAAAAGAAAAGAAUAGAAGCAUAGAAAUAAAAAAAAGAAUUCGAGAAUAAAGAAAAAUUUCCACAAAAUUUACUAUGAGUAGGAAAUAUAAUUAGUUUAUGAAUAAAAAAUAAAUGAAUAGAUAAGGGUAAAUUAUUUUAUUUUUGUGGAUAACUGUGUAAAAAACCCUAGGAUAUUGGCGCUGAAAUAAAUUUGGUUAAGAUGAACUAAACAUCCAUAAUGAACCAGCUAACUCUAAUUAAGUUUAUUUUGUUUGUUUGUCUUAAAUAAGUUUUUAAUUGUCAAAAAAAUUAAUUACAGCUAUAUCUAACAUAUCAUCUCAUAAUAUCUAGAAAUAUUUAGGGGAAACAUACACAAAUAUCUUAAAUAAUUCAUAAAUUACCAACCUCUAGCCAUUAGUUAUAGAUUUAUCAAAACUAGCUAACAAAAAUUGAAAAACUAAAUUAUAGGGUUCUUUCUAUCAAAAUAUCACAUGCAAAAAUCACCUUCCAUAUUUUAAAGCGUGAUUAGCACCAUUAGAUGCAAGAUGGAAAGGAAAUUUCAUAGAUGUGGUAAUAAAUAAAGUGAUGAAAUACAAAAAUCUAAACAAAAAGAGAAUUAUUUCAAUGGAUAUUGAUGAAAUUCAUUGAAAAUAUAUAGAUAAGUCAAUAUACAAAAUUUGAGGAAGAUUGGAGGUAAUUUGGACUGGUUUUGUAUCAAAAUUCAUAAUUAAAUNNNNNNNNNNNNNNNNUAUACAAAAUUUGAGGAAGAUUGGAGGUGAUUUUGACUGGUUUUGUAUCAAAAUUCGUAAUUAAAUCGAGUUCGAAAAAGUCCUCUGCGACACAUGUAUGAAACAUGUAUCAGACAUGUAUCUAACACACAAGUAUACAUGGAUAUACAUGUGAUACAUAAUUGAUACAUGUGUGAUACACAAAUGAUACACAGUGUGAUACGCAUAUAAUUUUUUUCAUGUUAUGUUUUUUACUUCGAAUUUUCAAUUCAAACAACCUUAAAACUAUACGAAAUCAUCUCAAAGCUGAUAUUCAAGCUCCUUUAGUUGUGCCUAAUCUAUUCUAAUAACACCAACUCAAAACAAAGCAAAAACUUAAUAUUUUUUUUGCUACAAAUAGUUAAUUAGCUAAUUUGGCUAAUAUUAGUAUUUUAUCAAUUGACCAGUUUUUGUAAUAAGC
Molecule: long non-coding RNA, 2598 nt
Filed under: Nicotiana benthamiana
Lineage: Eukaryota; Viridiplantae; Streptophyta; Magnoliopsida; Solanales; Solanaceae
Description: long non-coding RNA (NBEN_LNC031988)
Source: RNAcentral